Molecule: long non-coding RNA, 3495 nt
Filed under: Lynx canadensis (Canada lynx)
Lineage: Eukaryota; Metazoa; Chordata; Mammalia; Carnivora; Felidae
Description: lncRNA (ENSLCNG00005015532.1)
Source: RNAcentral
GGGAUUUACUAUGUUUGAAGUAAGCAUCUCAAUUAAAUAGAUGCUCACCAUUUUAUCUGGAUUCACUACAGAGUUUCCAGAAACAUUAUUUAGACAAGGUGCAACCAGUUUGUCUUUCAAUAAAUAUGAAUUGCUUCAAGCAAGAAAGAUUCUGGCAACAUGUGCUCUCCACUCUGAAUCUCAAAAACCUGAGGACAUGUCACACCCAGGUCAAACCAACACAUUUCCAAAAGUUGUUCAUCCGAUUCAAUUGAUAACAUCAACUAUUGGGCACAGACUUCAUUUCCCAAUCCUUCAUGACACAUUUUAUGAUCUGGAAGAUGGCAACUCAGCUCACUUGAUACUUGCCAUAAAAUCAGCAAAUGAAUAUCCUUCAGGCCCAGACAGCAGGCUGCAAUUUAAUGCUUCUCAUCAAAUACUACAUGGAUACCCCCCCUUUGAAUGGAUUUUAAUUGUUUCCCUCAGGAAUUGAUUCUUUAUGCCAGAUUCUGGGGCCCUGGCUGCUCAGAUGCUUUUCACCAUUGAACUGAACCUGCCCAGAAAUACUCCCUGCCACAGUUAAACACUCCAUGCACAAAAAACAGUUUCUACCCAUUUGUAAAGAAAAGAGAGAGGGUUGGUUUUUUGUUUUUUGUUUGUUUGGUUGGGGUGUUUUUGUUUUUUUGUUUUUUGUUUUUUUGUUUUUUUGGGUUUUUGGGGGGGUUUUUUGUUUUGGCUAAACUCACUGACUAAAUUCCACUGACCCUGAACAAAUUGUAUUAAUGACCCUGAGACCAGGGUCUACUAUUACAUCCUGGUAUAACAGUGCUUUAUGUUUAGCCAAUGGCAGUGUUCUGAAAUGGUGUCCUAACAGAAAAAUCCAGGAAGUGACCUUUAACCUACAGAGGGAGGCCUGAUAGAAAUGUCCAUCCAAACUUUGCAUAUGCUAUGUUACCAGAAUACAAAAUUAGCACAACAGAGAACAUGACAUAUAGUGGGAUCUGCCUGAUUCUGGAGGCAGUGGGUCAUUAAUUGAAAACAGCAUUCUUGCUUCAAUUAGCAUAGAAAAUAGCCCCUAGAUUAGAAAUAUCUUUCUGGCUCUGUUGGUAAGUGUAUGUACACUGACUGGUAACAGCAGAAAGUGUAGCUUACCAUUCCUGUAAGAAAUAGAAGACUUUUCUUUUACCUCUGUCCCAGGUGUUUCAAGGGGGAAAUUUAGUAAGUGAUACUAAGGCCUUAAGAUAUCUUCAAGGUAUUAAGGCCUUGAAAGCUACCUCUAAUGGGUAUGAAGCUCUGCCUUCCCCUCAGUGAGGGAGAGUGUCUUCCCAGAGUCAGCCUUACAGAGAAAAUGUAAUCCCGGCCACAGAAACAAGAGCCACCAUUCUCCCAGCCUCCAAAAUAUCAGCUCCUGUUACAUUAUGAAAUGGAAUCAUUAGCCAGAGGAAAAGUAAGUAAUGUUAUGAGAAAUCCACACGCAUCAACAACUGCAUAAGAAACAGGGCUAAUUGAUACAGAAAUUAGGUAAAAUAAACAAUUGAUGAAUCAAAUUGCCAGAGAAUGAGCAAUAAAUAAUUUUAUCCUCUGUGUUAAUUGUAUUAACACACUACCAGUUAACUCUAAUCACUUAUUUUGCCUUGCAAACUUGGAUGGCCCAUUGCAAAUUUAUCUCCCCAGGCCACCACUGCCAUAAACAAAUCAUGUAAAGACUCAUCCAUUAAGAAAAGAAAUUGCACCAGUGGCAACAGCAUCUCCCAAUGUGAAAAAUGCCAUCGAUUGCCAACUCAAGUCAAUCAUUACAAUCUUCAGCACAAAGACACAAAUAAUUUAACACUAAAUAAUAAAUUCUAUAAUAGGUUAAAGUUUUACUAUAUAUGAGCAAAGAAUUAUUAAAUAUUUAUUUCUCCAUUUUAUUUUUACCUUUAGCAUGCUAACAAACUCAUCAUAUUGAUUUUAAGGCUACCAAAAAAUAACAAACCUUCCCUCAAUUCUGUUCUCUCAUAACAGGCAAGGAUACUUUUGUUACAAUGCCUCUGAAACAGCUGACCACACUUACAUCCCCUACUUCUAACUUCCUUCAAGUAAUAACUCAAUAGCUGCAAUGUACUUUCUACUUCUACCAUUCCAUGGAAAUGGUUUUUUGGAAGUAAUUGUCAGCAUCUUGGCUCACGUAUCCUUUGGCUGACCUUCUCUUAGACUUCAGCCUUCUGAACAUCUCUACAGGUCCUAUGACAUUUCUUUAUUUCUACCACGCUGACCUUUAUUUUUCCUUCUCUUCUACCCCUUUAAACAUGAUCCACAAUGACUGUCCUUGAACUUGGUAAGUACAUAAAUGUAAUAUGAUGCCAGUUUUUAAAUAAGGACAAUAUUUUCCCCCUCCUUUUAAUAUUCUAAUUUAAAUAAGUUCACUAUUAUCCCAUUUCUUACAAAGGAAGAAAUUAUAGGGGCAUUUUAACUCAAUAUCACUUUUUCUCCCUUAGAGCUUUUCAUUUUCAAUUGACUCAGAGCAACAAUGGAAUUAAUUUAAAAUGUUACAAAUAAGGGGCGCCUGGGUGGCUCAGACAGUUAAGUGUCAGACUUGGGCUCAAGUCACAACCUCACAGUUUGUGAGUUUGAGUCCCUCAUCUGUGCUGCCAGCUCAGAGCCUGGAUCCUGCUUUGGAUUCUGUCUCCCUCUCUCUGCCCUCCCUCUCUUGCUCAUGCUCUGUCUCCCUCUCCCUGUCUCAAAAAUAAAUAAGCAUUAAAAAAAAUAAAAUGUUACAAAUAACACUUCUAAGCAGACACUAAAUUAAGUUUUCACCUUUCACUAGAAGGAAAUUAUUUCAGUAUUCACAACUUCCUACAUUUAUAGUUUCUGUUGAAUAUUCAGACAGGAUAUAAAGACAAAUAUAUGUAGUGAAGCAUAUGAAAUUGCCAAUAUUCGGUUAUGUUUUUUAAAUAAAAAUGGCAAUUUCAUAUGGUUCAGUAGAAUAUGUUCAUUUUAAUUAUGGAAAUAGAGAUAAAUGGAAUAAAACUUGAUAAGUAUAAAUGGAGAUCCCAGAGUCUCCUAAAUUAAAUCUAAUCCUUCAAAUCUUCACAAUAUUAUGGAAAUUUCUAGAUUUGCUCACGUUAGCAACAUGUCCAUAACAAAAUUAGCAUCUGGACACUUUUGUCCUCUACAUAGGUGCAAUUGUACUAGUAACUUUAAUUGAAAUGUGCCAGUAAUAACAAGGCAAAUAACUCAGUGCUUCAUAAAACAAUCUUGAACAAAAUACCAUAGACUGUUUUUUCCUCAACUAAGGGUACCUAAGUGUACCAUAAAGUCAGGAAUAUAGAGCAAUAUUCAAGAAUUCAAACACUUGGUGACCUUCCUCCAAAACUAAGCUGUUGUAUCGUUCAGGUUGAUUCUUAACACUUACAUGAAGCAUCAAUGUCAAGCAAUCCACACAUUAAAAAGUCUAUGCUAUAUUAAGUUAUAAUGAUGUUUGUGCAUAGCCAUAUGGUGAUUUUGAACAAUAUUCAAAUAAAAUGGAACUUUGUG